AUGGAAAGUUCAGCAACUGGGGAGCAGCAGAGGGAAGGACCCCGUUUCAACAGCCCCUGCACUUUCUUUGAACAAGUCAUCAAGGCUUGCCUCGACUGUUUGGGACUUCAUGAUGAUCAUAAUCAACACCCUCCUCCUCUACAGACCGAAAGAGAAAUGAAAUUUAAUGUAAUAUACCAAUCUCUCUCUCUCUCUCUCUCUCUCUCUCUCUCUCUCGUUAAUAGUUUGUUUUGCAAUCCUUUCUUUUUGUAUGUAUGGGCCUGGCUGUAUGUAUUUAUGUAUGUAAUGCAGGAAGAGACAAUUAUGAUGAUGGCUACAAGAUCAAGGAAGGCGACUAAACCACCUAUAAGCUCUGGUCCAGGUGGUCAGAUUAACUAUUCUUCAUCUGUUUCUUCCUCCUAA
Molecule: long non-coding RNA, 402 nt
Filed under: Prunus dulcis (almond)
Lineage: Eukaryota; Viridiplantae; Streptophyta; Magnoliopsida; Rosales; Rosaceae
Description: sRNA ncRNA
Source: RNAcentral